GAUUGUAGCUCAGUGGUAGAGUGCUUGCCUAGCACGUGUGAGGCACUGGGUUCAAUUCUCAGCAACA
Molecule: transfer RNA, 67 nt
Filed under: Marmota monax (woodchuck)
Lineage: Eukaryota; Metazoa; Chordata; Mammalia; Rodentia; Sciuridae
Description: tRNA.Ala
Rfam family: tRNA
About the family: Transfer RNA (tRNA) molecules are approximately 80 nucleotides in length. Their secondary structure includes four short double-helical elements and three loops (D, anti-codon, and T loops).
Source: RNAcentral